Molecule: ribosomal RNA, 408 nt
Filed under: uncultured microorganism
Description: bacterial SSU rRNA
Rfam family: Archaeal small subunit ribosomal RNA
Source: RNAcentral
GCGCACCAGUCGCGAAACUUUACAAUGUGCGAAAGCACGAUAAGGGAACUCUGAGUGCCUCCUAAGGAGGCUGUUCAGGUGUCUAAAAGCACCUGAAGGAAGGGCUGGGUAAGACCGGUGCCAGCCGCCGCGGUAACACCGGCAGCCCAAGUGGUAGCCACGUUUAUUGGGUCUAAAGCGUCCGUAGCCGGCUGGGUAAGUUCCUUGGGAAAUUUGGCUGCUUAACAGUCAAGCUUUCAGGGAAUACUGCCCGGCUUGGGACCGGGUGAGGUCAGAGGUGCUCCAGGGGUAGGGGUGAAAUCCAUUAAUCCUUGGGGGGCCACCGGUAGCGAAGGCGUCUGACCAGACCGGGUCCGACGGUGAGGGACGAAGGCUAGGGGCGCGAACCGGAUUAGAUACCCGCGUAAU